Long non-coding RNA from Selaginella moellendorffii, 292 nucleotides. RefSeq lists it as uncharacterized. The record is from RefSeq and is a predicted model, not a curated record. Lineage: Eukaryota; Viridiplantae; Streptophyta; Lycopodiopsida; Selaginellales; Selaginellaceae. The transcript has 3 exons.
AGGAUUCUUCUUCUUCCCGGCGCGGCUGGAUCGAUCUCGAGGAGGUGUUGGGCGCUUCAGAACCAGGCGCAGCGGAAGCUGAGCAAUGGCUACGCAGGUUUUAUGUCGUGGCUCGCGAGCCGGAACGAUGAUGGCGAUCCAUCGGCGGUGCGCAUUGGGACUUCGCGAGAAUCUGGCAGGCAGAUGAUAGCUCCUGGUGAUCUUCCUGACCAGCUCAGCACGGUUUUGCCCAGCACUGUUAAGCCGUGGACCAAACUUGCUCUUAUUGUCCUCAUGGAACGCUACAAAGGCC